GACGAACGCUGGCGGCGUGCCUAAUACAUGCAAGUCGAGCGAGUCUGCCUUGAAGAUCGGAGUGCUUGCACUCUGUGAAACAAGAUACAGGCUAGCGGCGGACGGGUGAGUAACACGUGGGUAACCUGCCCAAGAGAUCGGGAUAACACCUGGAAACAGAUGCUAAUACCGGCUAACAACAGAUGAUGCCUAUCAACUGUUUAAAAGAUGGUUCUGCUAUCACUCUUGGAUGGACCUGCGGUGCAUUAGCUAGUUGGUAGGGUAACGGCCUACCAAGGCGAUGAUGCAUAGCCGAGUUGAGAGACUGAUCGGCCACAUUGGGACUGAGACACGGCCCAAACUCCUACGGGAGGCAGCAGUAGGGAAUCUUCCACAAUGGACGCAAGUCUGAUGGAGCAACGCCGCGUGAGUGAAGAAGGGUUUCGGCUCGUAAAGCUCUGUUGUUGGUGAAGAAGGACAGGGGUAGUAACUGACCUUUGUUUGACGGUAAUCAAUGAGAAAGUCACGGCUAACUACGUG
This 519-nucleotide ribosomal RNA is filed under the name uncultured bacterium. RNAcentral's name for it is "partial 16S ribosomal RNA". It matches the Rfam family "Bacterial small subunit ribosomal RNA", at positions 28 to 507 of the family's 1533-position model. The record is from RNAcentral.